RNAcentral lists this ribosomal RNA (423 nucleotides) under uncultured bacterium. RNAcentral describes it as "bacterial SSU rRNA". It matches the Rfam family "Bacterial small subunit ribosomal RNA", at positions 355 to 775 of the family's 1533-position model. The record is from RNAcentral.
UAAGGAAUAUUGGUCAAUGGGCGCAAGCCUGAACCAGCCAUGCCGCGUGCAGGGAGACGGCCCUAUGGGUUGUAAACUGCUUUUAUCAGGGAAUAAACCCCCGCUCGUGAGCGGGGCUGAAGGUACCUGAAGAAUAAGCAUCGGCUAACUCCGUGCCAGCAGCCGCGGUAAUACGGAGGAUGCAAGCGUUAUCCGGAUUCAUUGGGUUUAAAGGGUGCGCAGGCGGAUUGGUAAGUCAGGGGUGAAGUCCCACAGCUCAACUGUGGAACUGCCUUUGAUACUGUCAGUCUAGAGUAUAGUUGAAGUGGGCGGAAUGUGUCAUGUAGCGGUGAAAUGCUUAGAUAUGACACAGAACACCGAUCGCGAAGGCAGCUCGCUAAGCUAUAACUGACGCUCAUGCACGAAAGCGUGGGGAUCAAACAG